GGACCGACAUGCACUUCUCCACCCCCCAGCAGCUGUGUAACCUCCAGUGUGGAACUCGCGAUGUCCCUUGGCCCACCUUUGCCCAUGCAGCCGCUGAGGCCCAGACUCCAGGGACCUCAGACUUAACAGAGAGCUUUUCAGCCAAGUCUGGACCCCAUUUCCCUGCAAAGAUCACCUCCAGCAGAUGACAGGCCAAGUGAGGAUGGUCACUCCAGGUGCCUGUGUCUGAACUGGGGCUCUUGGCCCAGGUGGACUCCUCCUGGAGAUGGGACGUGGACACUGCCUCACCAGGACUGGGCAGCUGGGAGGGGGCCUGCAGCCCCUCUCCUGCCUUCUGUCACAAGUGGGGUGGUGGCUGAGGGAAGGUUUGCUCCUGGCUGACUGAGCCAGGCCCCCAUUUCUCCUUCCCCAGCUGCCACCUGGGGUACAGCACACUGAGACCAGGUGUCUCGAGAACAAGGAAGUGCCAGGGGUGGACUACUGGGGCAAAGUGGGAGACCGACUCACAUCUGGGCACCGAACGCCGUGACAGAGAAGGCCAGGCUCAGAGCGGGGGGGCCUCACCUGACCCUAGGCCGUGGGGCCCCGGCACCUUGUAGCUCUCCAUGGGGGCCCUUGGGCGGGGCUGGGGGCUUCUGGUUAGAAAGAGGGUCUUUAGCUCCUUCCUGAGUCCCCUGGGUGGGGCAGACAGAAUGGCUGGGUGGGCUGUCCCCUUCCUCAGAUGUCCUGGCCCCUGACCUGCCCUGUCUCAGCUUGGACAGCCUCCUUCUGGACACCCCAGCUUUCUCUCCAGGGUCCUGCAGGGACUCUGCUGAGAACCGGGGCUUCUGCAGGCCCCCCGGGCACCCACCCCGCACCAGCCUUCCCAGAGCUCAGGCCCCAGCCCAGCCAGUUCAG
RNAcentral lists this long non-coding RNA (897 nucleotides) under Rhinolophus ferrumequinum (greater horseshoe bat). RNAcentral describes it as "lncRNA (ENSRFEG00010007166.1)". Lineage: Eukaryota; Metazoa; Chordata; Mammalia; Chiroptera; Rhinolophidae. The record is from RNAcentral.